RNAcentral lists this ribosomal RNA (253 nucleotides) under uncultured bacterium. RNAcentral describes it as "partial 16S ribosomal RNA". It matches the Rfam family "Bacterial small subunit ribosomal RNA", at positions 524 to 776 of the family's 1533-position model. The record is from RNAcentral.
UACGUAGGGUGCAAGCGUUGUCCGGAAUUAUUGGGCGUAAAGAGCUCGUAGGCGGUUUGUCGCGUCUGCUGUGAAAUCCCGAGGCUCAACCUCGGGCCUGCAGUGGGUACGGGCAGACUAGAGUCCGGUAGGGGAGCGUGGAAUUCCUGGUGUAGCGGUGAAAUGCGCAGAUAUCAGGAGGAACACCGAUGGCGAAGGCAGGUCUCUGGGCCGAUACUGACGCUGAGGAGCGAAAGCGUGGGGAGCGAACAGG